ACGGGUGAGUAACACGUAUGCAAUCCACCUGUAACAGGGGGAGUAACCCGGAGAAAUCCGGACUAAUACCUCAUAAUAUGGGCGCUCCGCAUGGAGAGCCCAUUAAAGAGAGCAAUUUUGGUUUACAGACGAGCAUGCGCUCCAUUAGCCAGUUGGCGGGGUAACGGCCCACCAAAGCGACGAUGGAUAGGGGUUCUGAGAGGAAGGUCCCCCACAUUGGAACUGAGACACGGUCCAA
This 238-nucleotide ribosomal RNA is filed under the name uncultured bacterium. RNAcentral describes it as "partial 16S ribosomal RNA". It matches the Rfam family "Bacterial small subunit ribosomal RNA", at positions 102 to 334 of the family's 1533-position model. The record is from RNAcentral.